This is a long non-coding RNA of Arachis duranensis, 2370 nucleotides long. RefSeq lists it as uncharacterized. The record is from RefSeq and is a predicted model, not a curated record. The transcript is spliced from 4 exons. NCBI's taxonomy places the organism in Eukaryota, Viridiplantae, Streptophyta, Magnoliopsida, Fabales, Fabaceae.
CUUCAUCUUCUCAAACCUAGCCUUCGUCGUUCGUCCAUCUUCAUCGUUCAGCUUCAUCUUCUCGAACCACCUUCAUCACUGCCCUUCAUCGCACCCAGCCUUCACCGCCUUCGUCGUCACCUUCAUCGUUCAUUAUGGUGGUCUUCCUCGAGCUUGACGUUGCCGUCACCGUCAGUGGUCAUUGUCUUCCUUGACGCUGCGUUGAAAGGGUUUUGAGUGGCUUUUCCUUGAAAGGUUCAGAAAACCCUAACCUCCAUCACACCGCCAUCUAUGUCACUAUCGCCACCCUUCGCGCUCAAGAUCGCAACCAGGUUCGUCGUUGUGUUAGCCAGCUCGCCAUUCCUCGCCAGUUCGUCGUUCUGGUCGUCGUGCUACUCGCCUUUCUCUCUCGCGGUUCUGCUCGCUUCUCUGUCACGGUUCUGCUUGCGGUGCUGCUCAAAGGGUCCAAGAAAUCAAAGCCAAAAUCCAAUUUUUCCAUCUGCAAAAUUUCACCUGCUGAAUUCGAAUCUCUGUUUCUUAAGAAAUCAGUCUUGUUCAGUACAUAGAAGUGAUCAGAUUUAUGGUGAAGAUGAAUAGUCAUUUGGAUUCUGGGAGCAAGGUACUGGAGUUUUUAGUUGCCCUUCUGGAAAAAAGUCCAAUGUACACUCUCUAUUUAGAUUUCAGUUAUCUUGUCACUUUUAUGCCAAAACAAUUUAUCCUAGCUUCAUGUUCUAGCAUUUGUUAUUAAUUAAUAUAGUUUGAUACAAGUAUAUAGUUGAGCCUUAGUUGUAUUUUACUUAAUACACUCUCUAUGCUUUUCCUUCUUUUGUCAUUGUCCUUUCUCUUUUUUAAUCCGUUACUUGGCCAGACAAUGACUCAUGGGAACAAUGAAAGAUAGAAAGAAAGAAUACUUUUAAGAAGAAAGGUGAGUUGGAUAUUUUACACGAGUUAAGUGUCAUCUGUCAUGUUAAAAUUAGAAGUGUUAUAUUGACGGAUAUAGAGGAGGUAGAUGUAAUUUCCUCUAACAUUUAUGAAUGACUAAUAUUCCCAUUCUAUUUACUUCUAUUGUAAGUCAUCUAUUUUUCUCCUUCUGCACUCUUUUUGUUUUCUGUUUUCUGUUUCUGUUUCUUCUUUCUCCUUUCAUUAUGCUUCUGGUUCUUAGUGUUCUUUGGCUAGUAUAAGAAGGCUUUCAAAGAGAAAAGGGGUGAAUUCUCUCCAUUUUUGUUCCUUAAUUCUUUUCGUUUCUUCAGGAUGAAUUUUUUUUAUCCGGCAGUGAAAGAAACCCUCAAUGUUCUUCAAUCGUGUGAAAUCUCAGUCGGUAAGCACGUUAUUUUGACUUCUUUAAUUGCUGCUGUUACAUUUAAUGGAAGGCUUCUGACUCCUAAAGCAGUAGUUGAUGACACCUGGUUUUCGAUCACAAACUUUGUAAGGAGUCGAAGGUAUGUCCCAUGUCCCUACAAUUGUUAUCAUAUUCGCCUAAUUAGGCCAAAUUAGUAGGAGUGGAAUUAGCUUUAUGUGUUGCUGAUUUAAUUUUGAUUCAUUUGAAUAAGCUCAAUCCCUUGUAAAUUUGAGACUUUAGUACCACUGAUUUUGUUUCUCAUUUUCCUUUUUUUUUUCAGUCAUGGUACUAGUAUGUGCUUUCAAAGACAUUGGCUGAAGAUGCUGCUUGAAAAUUUGCAAAAAAAAAAUUAAAUAAUAAUUAACCCAGUAAUGGUGAUUGGACCUCUUCAGCAACCAGUACUUAACACAAGUGCUGCUGGUUUUUUGAAUGUAACUAAUGGAGAAGAAGCCUUAUUCCAAUAAAGUUGCUAAGCUUAAAGCAGAAUAUGAGAAGGCUAUGGAAAGUUAUAUUGCUGCUGAAGCAGGAGGGGAAAAGGGAGAAGGAGAAGGAGAACAUGAAGAGGGAUGAUAAAAAAUAUGAUAAGGAAGAAGCUGCGGCCAGUGAAGACGAGGAGUAAAGUCUACUGGUUGCUAUGCACAAGAGCUUAAUUGUUUCUAGUGUAGUGUUGAAAAUUUUCAAAUGCCUUUGUGCUGCAAAAUCUUUGUGUUGGCCUCUUGGAAUAUUCUUCAAAGGCACUUGGUUUAUACUUAUUUCAUUGUUCUCCACUCCUCCCCAAUAGAUGUGUUUGAUUACUUUUAUGAUCUGUCUAUGGCAACAAAGCAGAAUUGUAUUAUUGGCUUAUUCUUCCUUUUUUUUUAAAUAAAUUUUUCGUUGGCCAAUCCAAUUAGCUUAUUAUAAAUUCUGGGUUCGGUUGGUUAAGCGUAGCCAUAGCUUCCUCUUCAACCACCACAUUUAUUAUGUAGUCAUAUUUUUUUAUAUAAGCACGUUUUAAAAGCGUAGCCAUAUCUUCUCCUAUCCUUCUCCUAUCGACACAUUUCAAAAGUGUAGCU